AGGAAAGUUCAUGCAACAGAUGAUGAAUAACAGCUUUGAGUUGCCCAAAUUUGCAUGUAAAGAUAAAUUUUUGACCGAGAAGGUAUAUGAUACACCUAGCAACAGAUUGAGAAAAUACAAGCGCUCUGCAUCUUUCAAUUCAAGAAGAAUUGUUCUCCUUUUCUCAGUCAUGUCGUGCAUGGGGACGAUCGUUCUCAUUUAUCUUACUCUAAGAGUUAGAAUGAGUGGUGAUUGGGCUGCUAAUGUUUAGAAUCUACUUCUCGUCCAUCGUUUGUGAAAUGAGUUCUCUUUCUUGCUUGUAUUUA
This 305-nucleotide unclassified non-coding RNA is filed under the name Hevea brasiliensis (rubber tree). Lineage: Eukaryota; Viridiplantae; Streptophyta; Magnoliopsida; Malpighiales; Euphorbiaceae. The record is from RNAcentral.